GAUGAACGCUGGCGGCGUGCCUAAUACAUGCAAGUCGAGCGAACAGACGAGGAGCUUGCUCCCCUGACGUUAGCGGCGGACGGGUGAGUAACACGUGGAUAACCUACCUAUAAGACUGGGAUAACUUCGGGAAACCGUAGCUAAUACCGGAUAAUAUAUUGAACCGCAUGGUUCAAUAGUGAAAGUCGCUUUUGCUGUCACUAAUAGAUGGAUCCGCGCCGCAUUAGCUAGUUGGUAAGGUAGCGGCUUACCAAGGCAGCGAUGCGUAGCCGCCCUGAGAGGGUGAUUCGCCACCCUGGAUCUGAGACUCGGUCCAGACUCCUAGGGGAGGCCGCAGUCGGGAAUCUUCCGCAAUGGAGGAGUGCCGGACGGAGCAAAGCCGCGUGAGGGAUGAAGGUCUUCGGAUCGUUGAGCUAUGUUAGUAGGAAGGAAGAAAUGUGUAAGUAACUAUGCACGUAUUGACGGUACCGAGUCAGAAAGCCACGGCUAACUACGUG
RNAcentral lists this ribosomal RNA (497 nucleotides) under uncultured bacterium. RNAcentral describes it as "partial 16S ribosomal RNA". It matches the Rfam family "Bacterial small subunit ribosomal RNA", at positions 28 to 507 of the family's 1533-position model. The record is from RNAcentral.